RNAcentral lists this ribosomal RNA (545 nucleotides) under Thanasimus aterrimus. RNAcentral's name for it is "partial 16S ribosomal RNA". It matches the Rfam family "Bacterial large subunit ribosomal RNA", at positions 1802 to 2619 of the family's 2925-position model. Lineage: Eukaryota; Metazoa; Arthropoda; Insecta; Coleoptera; Cleridae. The record is from RNAcentral.
GUUAACAAAAACAUGGCCUUUUGAUAAUAAUUUAAGGUCUAAUCUGCCCACUGAAAUUUUAAAUGGCCGCGGUAUUUUGACCGUGCAAAGGUAGCAUAAUAAUUAGUUUCUUAAUUAGAAGCUGGAAUGAAAGAUUGAAUGAGAAAAUAACUGUCUCAAAUUAAAUUAAUUAGAAUUUUAUUUUUAAGUUAAAAAGCUUAAAUAAUUUUAAAAGACGAGAAGACCCUAUAGAGUUUUAUUUAGUUUUUUAUUAAAAAUUUAUGAAUUUAUAUUAUUUUAAAUAAAAAAUUAAAUUUUGUUGGGGAGAUAGAAAAAUUUAUUAAACUUUUUUUAUAUUAUAACAUAAAUGAAUGAUUAAUUGAUCCAAAUUUUUUGAUUAAAAGAUAAAAUUACCUUAGGGAUAACAGCGUAAUUUUUUUUGAGAGUUCUUAUCGAAAAAAAGGAUUGCGACCUCGAUGUUGGAUUAAAGUUUAAUUUUGGUGUAGAAGCUAAAAAUUUAGGUCUGUUCGACCUUUAAAACUUUACAUGAUCUGAGUUCAGACCGG